CUUUUCCUCAGACAUGCAAUUAUGGUGAGAAUUGUUUGACUCAUUCUUUUAAACAACAAUAUAAUUAGAAUAUAAUUAGAGAAAAAUAUAUAAUUAUAUAAAAUAAAACUUCUUAAAGUGAAGAUUUAAAAUACUAAAGGUUGAGUGGCACUGUAUGGUGUAUGCACUGUACACACUUCAUAAUUUUACACUAUUACACAUCGCUAUGCAGUACUAAACAUGCUCUCCUAAUGACGUAGUCUUCUUGUCCAUCUCCCUGCCACAGCCAAGCUCCCAUUUAACAUGAUGACAAAUAUGGAGACACUUCUGAAUGGUGUCAAAGAUAAAGCUGGACACUAAAGUGGUAUGAACAGUCUUUACUCAGCAAUAACUAUUGAAAAAUACAGGAAAGAGUCCACUUGAACUGAAUGCAACUUCACUGGAAAAAACAAAAAAAGCAGGA
RNAcentral lists this long non-coding RNA (442 nucleotides) under Pan troglodytes (chimpanzee). Its description in RNAcentral is "long non-coding RNA NONPTRT007781". The record is from RNAcentral. Lineage: Eukaryota; Metazoa; Chordata; Mammalia; Primates; Hominidae.